CUCAGGAUGAACGCUGGCGGCGUGCCUAAUACAUGCAAGUCGAGCGAACAGACGAGGAGCUUGCUCCUUUGAYGUUAGCGGCGGACGGGUGAGUAACACGUAGGUAACCUACCUAUAAGACUGGGAUAACUUCGGGAAACCGGAGCUAAUACCGGAUAAUAUUUCGAACCGCAUGGUUCGAUAGUGAAAGAUGGCUUUGCUAUCACUUAUAGAUGGACCUGCGCCGUAUUAGCUAGUUGGUAAGGUAACGGCUUACCAAGGCAACGAUACGUAGCCGACCUGAGAGGGUGAUCGGCCACACUGGAACUGAGACACGGUCCAGACUCCUACGGGAGGCAGCAGUAGGGAAUCUUCCGCAAUGGGCGAAAGCCUGACGGAGCAACGCCGCGUGAGUGAUGAAGGUCUUCGGAUCGUAAAACUCUGUUAUUAGGGAAGAACAAACGUGUAAGUAACUGUGCACGUCUUGACGGUACCUAAUCAGAAAGCCACGGCUAACUACGUGCCAGCAGCCGCGGUAAUACGUAGGUGGCAAGCGUUAUCCGGAAUUAUUGGGCGUAAAGCGCGCGUAGGCGGUUUUUUAAGUCUGAUGUGAAAGCCCACGGCUCAACCGUGGAGGGUCAUUGGAAACUGGAAAACUUGAGUGCAGAAGAGGAAAGUGGAAUUCCAUGUGUAGCGGUGAAAUGCGCAGAGAUAUGGAGGAACACCAGUGGCGAAGGCGACUUUCUGGUCUGUAACUGACGCUGAUGUGCGAAAGCGUGGGGAUCAAACAGG
RNAcentral lists this ribosomal RNA (771 nucleotides) under Staphylococcus xylosus. Its description in RNAcentral is "bacterial SSU rRNA". It matches the Rfam family "Bacterial small subunit ribosomal RNA", at positions 23 to 776 of the family's 1533-position model. The record is from RNAcentral. Lineage: Bacteria; Bacillati; Bacillota; Bacilli; Caryophanales; Staphylococcaceae.